GACGAACGCUGGCGGCGUGCUUGACACAUGCAAGUCGAACGAAGUGGCGAACGGGUGAGUAACACGAGGGUGAUCUGCCUUGCACUCUGGGAUGAGCUUGGGAAACUGGGUCUAAUACCGGAUAGUGCAAGAUGAGCUCGCGGACUAUCAACUUGUUGUUGGGGUAAUGGCCUACCAAGGCGUCGACGGGUAGCCGGCCUGCGAUGGUGUACGGCUACAUUAGGACGGAGAUACGGCCCAGACUCCUACGGGAGUCAUCAGUGCGGAAUAUUGCACAAUGGGCGGAAGUCUGAUCCAGCGACGCCGCGUGGGGGCUGACGGCCUUCGGGUUAUAACCUCCUUUCGACAGGGACGCGGUGCCUGUAUACGAAGCACCGGCUAACUACGUGCAAGCAGCCGCGGUAAUAC
Molecule: ribosomal RNA, 408 nt
Filed under: uncultured bacterium
Lineage: Bacteria
Description: partial 16S ribosomal RNA
Rfam family: Bacterial small subunit ribosomal RNA
Source: RNAcentral